RNAcentral lists this ribosomal RNA (888 nucleotides) under uncultured bacterium. RNAcentral's name for it is "bacterial SSU rRNA". It matches the Rfam family "Bacterial small subunit ribosomal RNA", at positions 38 to 920 of the family's 1533-position model. The record is from RNAcentral.
AGCCGUCCAGCUUACCAUGCAGUCGAGGGGAACGGCAUUAAGUGCUUGCACUUUUUGGACGUCGACCGGCGCACGGGUGAGUAACGCGUAUCCAACCUGCCCCUUACCAGGGAAUAGCCCGUUGAAAGACGGACUAAUGCCCUAUGCAGUCCUUUGACGGCAUCAGAUUAGGACUAAAGAUUCAUCGGUAUGGGAUGGGGAUGCGUCUGAUUAGCUUGUUGGCGGGGUAACGGCCCACCAAGGCAUCGAUCAGUAGGGGUUCUGAGAGGAAGGUCCCCCACAUAGGAACUGAGACACGGUCCUAACUCCUACGGGAGGCAGCAGUGAGGAAUAUUGGUCAAUGGGCGCUAGCCUGAACCAGCCAAGUAGCGUGCAGGACGACGGCCCUAUGGGUUGUAAACUGCUUUUAUGCGGGGAUAAAGUCACCCACGUGUGGGUGUUUGCAGGUACCGCAUGAAUAAGGACCGGCUAAUUCCGUGCCAGCAGCCGCGGUAAUACGGAAGGUCCGGGCGUUAUCCGGAUUUAUUGGGUUUAAAGGGAGUGUAGGCGGCCUGUUAAGCGUGUUGUGAAAUGUAGAUGCUCAACAUCUGAACUGCAGCGCGAACUGGCUGGCUUGAGUACACGCAACGUGGGCGGAAUUCAUGGUGUAGCGGUGAAAUGCUUAGAUAUCAUGAGGAACUCCAAUUGCGAAGGCAGCUCACGGGAGUGUCACUGACGCUUAAGCUCGAAGGUGCGGGUAUCAAACAGGAUUAGAUACCCUGGUAGUCCGCACGGUAAACGAUGGAUGCCCGCUGUUGGCGCUUUGCGUCAGCGGCUAAGCGAAAGCAUUAAGCAUCCCACCUGGGGAGUACGCCGGCAACGGUGAAACUCAAAGGAAUUGACGGAAUU